This 231-nucleotide long non-coding RNA is filed under the name Carica papaya (papaya). RNAcentral's name for it is "long non-coding RNA (CPAP_LNC008023)". The record is from RNAcentral. Lineage: Eukaryota; Viridiplantae; Streptophyta; Magnoliopsida; Brassicales; Caricaceae.
GGUGAGCGUCAUAAAUGCUCGUCGUAUCCACAGUAAGGUUUACCGUAUAUAACCAUCGAUACAUCAUUCUCACUUUCAUCAAUUUGCAUGCAUUUGUAUCGUUAAAUUUUGUUUUCUCUAGAAUACUCUAUUCUGCAUGCAAGUUUCCAUAUAUCAUACAUACUAUGUGCACCUAUCACUUCAUCAUACCCAAUCGGUUAUGUUAACAUCCCACACAUGCUCAUUCACAUG